This 458-nucleotide ribosomal RNA is filed under the name uncultured marine microorganism. Its description in RNAcentral is "bacterial SSU rRNA". It matches the Rfam family "Bacterial small subunit ribosomal RNA", at positions 356 to 829 of the family's 1533-position model. The record is from RNAcentral.
GGGGAAUUUUCCGCAAUGGGCGAAAGCCUGACGGAGCAAUACCGCGUGAGGGAGGAAUGCCUUUGGGUUGUAAACCUCUUUUCUCAGGGAAGAAGAUCUGACGGUACCUGAGGAAUAAGUAUCGGCUAACUCCGUGCCAGCAGCCGCGGUAAUACGGAGGAUGCAAGCGUUAUCCGGAAUCAUUGGGCGUAAAGCGUCCGCAGGUGGUUUCCAAAGUCUGCUGUUAAAGACUGGAGCUCAACUCCGGAACGGCGGUGGAAACUUGGAAACUAGAGUUCGGUAGGGGUAGCAGGAAUUCCCAGUGUAGCGGUGAAAUGCGUAGAUAUUGGGAAGAGCAUCGGUGGCGAAGGCGUGCUACUGGACCCUAACUGACACUCAGGGACGAAAGCUAGGGGAGCGAAAGGGAUUAGAUACCCCUGUAGUCCUAGCUGCAAACGAUGGAAACUAGGUGUGGCUUG